Molecule: long non-coding RNA, 373 nt
Filed under: Mustela putorius furo (domestic ferret)
Lineage: Eukaryota; Metazoa; Chordata; Mammalia; Carnivora; Mustelidae
Description: lncRNA (ENSMPUG00000030716.1)
Source: RNAcentral
CUUGAUUCAAACCAGAGGCCACACUUGUGACACAGUGUGCAGAGCUCUGCUGGCGGAGCAAGGAGGAACAAGCUCGUCUCCGGGGGGAAGUCGCAAGUCACAUUCGGCGACACGGAGACACCAAGUUUCAUUAGAUCUACUUUUGUACCUGAACCAAGCUGGUGAGAUGUUGUGGCUCCAAGUGCCUAUGGAAGCUUCUUCAGGACGAAAAGAAAAACGCCUUUUGCUCAAAUCUUGCCAGGAAAGGAAAUGGUUAAAUUGGAUAAGGAUCCCCAUCAGGAUUCCUAAGAGCUUCCAGAGUUUACCAUCUAGGCUUGGAUUUUACUAAACUCUUGCUGCAACUCUGAGUUCUAUUGUUAAAUAUAAUAACUUG